UGGGGAAUUUUGGACAAUGGGGGCAACCCUGAUCCAGCCAUUCCGCGUGUGGGAAGAAGGCCUUCGGGUUGUAAACCACUUUCGGACGGGAAGAAAUCGACGUGACGAAUAAUCGUGUCGGAUGACGGUACCGUAAGAAGAAGCACCGGCUAACUACGUGCCAGCAGCCGCGGUAAUACGUAGGGUGCGAGCGUUAAUCGGAAUUACUGGGCGUAAAGCGUGCGCAGGCGGUUAUGUAAGACAGAUGUGAAAUCCCCGGGCUUAACCUGGGAACUGCGUUUGUGACUGCAUAACUGGAGUACGGCAGAGGGGGGUGGAAUUCCUGGUGUAGCAGUGAAAUGCGUAGAUAUCAGGAGGAACACCGAUGGCGAAGGCAGCCCCCUGGGCCGAUACUGACGCU
RNAcentral lists this ribosomal RNA (400 nucleotides) under uncultured bacterium. RNAcentral's name for it is "bacterial SSU rRNA". It matches the Rfam family "Bacterial small subunit ribosomal RNA", at positions 355 to 747 of the family's 1533-position model. The record is from RNAcentral.